UAGGGAAUAUUGGACAAUGGGUGAGAGCCUGAUCCAGCCAUGCCGCGUGCAGGAAGAAGGCGUUAUGCGUUGUAAACUGCUUUUGCCAGGGGAUAAAAUGACCGUGCGCGGUUAAUUGAAGGUACCUGGUGAAUAAGCCACGGCUAACUACGUGCCAGCAGCCGCGGUAAUACGUAGGUGGCAAGCGUUGUCCGGAUUUAUUGGGUUUAAAGGGUGCGUAGGUGGCCCUGUAAGUCAGUGGUGAAAUAUCUCAGCUUAACUGAGAGGGUGCCAUUGAUACUGCAGGGCUUGAGUACAGAUGAGGUAGGCGGAAUUGACGGUGUAGCGGUGAAAUGCAUAGAUAUCGUCAAGAACACCGAUAGCGAAGGCAGCUUACCAAGCUGUAACUGACACUGAGGCACGAAAGUGUGGGGAUCAAACAGGAUUAGAUACCCCCGUAGUCCCUGAG
Molecule: ribosomal RNA, 448 nt
Filed under: uncultured bacterium
Lineage: Bacteria
Description: bacterial SSU rRNA
Rfam family: Bacterial small subunit ribosomal RNA
Source: RNAcentral